Molecule: ribosomal RNA, 253 nt
Filed under: uncultured bacterium
Lineage: Bacteria
Description: partial 16S ribosomal RNA
Rfam family: Bacterial small subunit ribosomal RNA
Source: RNAcentral
UACGUAGGGGGCAAGCGUUGUUCGGAAUUACUGGGCGUAAAGGGCGCGUAGGCGGCACAGCAAGUCGGGAGUGAAAGCCCGGGGCUCAACCCCGGAAUGUCUUUCGAAACUGCUGAGCUCGAGUGCGGAAGAGGCAACUGGAAUUCCCAGUGUAGCGGUGAAAUGCGUAGAUAUUGGGAAGAACACCUGAGGCGAAGGCGGGUUGCUGGGCCGACACUGACGCUGAGGAGCGAAAGCCAGGGGAGCAAACGGG